CCAGCCGCAGGCAUGACAUCUGGUCUGCUUCCCAGAUUCCACCACAGCUGGAACUGGCCUGCUUCCUACAUUUCACCCCCAAUGCUGAAAUUGCUCCAGGUUUGUCCAGAUGGCAGACAGGGGAAACACUUUCAGGGUGCUCUCCUGGUUCACCACAUCUUGUCUGGAGUCUCAAACUCUAAGACUUAGCUCUGCCCUCAGCACCCCAGGUACGCCUGCUGCAUGGAGGACACAGUUGCCCUUGGUUUCCUUCAAUCAUGAAAGAAGCUACUGUGCACUCUGCACCAACCUGUGCCAGGCACCCACCACGUACACUUUCUCAUUUAGUCUCUGCAACAGCCCUGCAAUGUAUCAUGUCCAUGGUCCAGAGCUGAGAUACUGGCUGGGUGGAUUUCAGCAAAUUUCCAAGGGCACAUGACAUGUGGGCACAAAAGCCGGGAUUUCACACCAGGGGAUAAAGUAUAUCAGAAAUGAAGGCUGGGGGCAGAAUAAUAGACAAUAUCUCCCCGGAUACUUUUUAUCAGCAAGACAGGAAUGUUCCCCAAAUGACACUGCUUAAGAGAACUUUGAGGAGAACUGAGGGCAAGAUACAAGCCAUGGUUCUAUACAGAUAAGUCUACGGAAGCUGCAGAAAUAACAUUCCAGAUCCCCAGGAAUCCACCCACCCACCCCUCCGACUUUGGCCGAACACCAUGGCUGGCUGCCGUGUGAAGAAUGGACUGUAGGGGGUGCCAGAGUGGCUGUGGGAAACAUCCCCUAGAAAUCUAGAAUUCAAAGCACUUACUUUGAGUGAUAUAUCCACAAGAAAGAGCCUUCUGUGCU
This 822-nucleotide long non-coding RNA is filed under the name Homo sapiens (human). Its description in RNAcentral is "HSALNT0354746". The record is from RNAcentral. Lineage: Eukaryota; Metazoa; Chordata; Mammalia; Primates; Hominidae.